UGGGGAAUAUUGCACAAUGGGCGCAAGCCUGAUGCAGCCAUGCCGCGUGUGUGAAGAAGGCCUUCGGGUUGUAAAGCACUUUCAGCGAGGAGGAAGGUGGUGGACUUAAUACGUUCAUCAAUUGACGUUACUCGCAGAAGAAGCACCGGCUAACUCCGUGCCAGCAGCCGCGGUAAUACGGAGGGUGCAAGCGUUAAUCGGAAUUACUGGGCGUAAAGCGCACGCAGGCGGUUUGUUAAGUCAGAUGUGAAAUCCCCCGGGCUCAACCUGGGAACUGCAUUUGAAACUGGCAAGCUAGAGUCUCGUAGAGGGGGGUAGAAUUCCAGGUGUAGCGGUGAAAUGCGGUAGAGAUCUGGAGGAAUACCGGUGGCGAAGGCGGCCCCCCUGGACGAAGACUGACGCUCAGGUGCGAAAGCGUGGGGAGCAAAACAGGAUUAGAUACCCUGGUAGGUCCACGCUGUAAACGAUGUCGAUUUGGAGGUUGUGCCCUUGAGGCGUGGCUCCCGGAGCUAACGCGUUAAAUCGACCGCCUGGGGAGUACGGCC
RNAcentral lists this ribosomal RNA (545 nucleotides) under uncultured bacterium. Its description in RNAcentral is "partial 16S ribosomal RNA". It matches the Rfam family "Bacterial small subunit ribosomal RNA", at positions 355 to 887 of the family's 1533-position model. The record is from RNAcentral.